UACGUAGGGUGCAAGCAUUAAUCGGAUUUAUUGGGCGUAAAGGGCGCGUAGGCGGGGAAGUAAGUCAGAUGUGAAAUCCCGGGGCUCAACCUCGGAACUGCAUUUGAAACUACUUCUCUAGAGGGUAGGCGGAGAAAACGGAAUUCCACAAGUAGCGGUGAAAUGCGUAGAUAUGUGGAAGAACACCGGUGGCGAAGGCGGUUUUCUAGCUUAUACCUG
RNAcentral lists this ribosomal RNA (219 nucleotides) under uncultured prokaryote. Its description in RNAcentral is "partial 16S ribosomal RNA". It matches the Rfam family "Bacterial small subunit ribosomal RNA", at positions 524 to 742 of the family's 1533-position model. The record is from RNAcentral.